GAGUUUGAUCGUGGCUCAGAUUGAACGCUAGCGGGAUGCCUUACACAUGCAAGUCGAACGGCAGCACGGACUUCGGUCUGGUGGCGAGUGGCGAACGGGUGAGUAAUGUAUCGGAACGUGCCUAGUAGCGGGGGGAUAACUACGCGAAAGCGUAGCUAAUACCGCAUACGCCCUACGGGGAAAGCAGGGGAUCGCAAGACCUUGCACUAUUAGAGCGGCCGAUAUCGGAUUAGCUAGUUGGUGGGGUAACGGCUCACCAAGGCGACGAUCCGUAGCUGGUUUGAGAGGACGACCAGCCACACUGGGACUGAGACACGGCCCAGACUCCUACGGGAGGCAGCAGUGGGGAAUUUUGGACAAUGGGGGAAACCCUGAUCCAGCCAUCCCGCGUGUGCGAUGAAGGCCUUCGGUUGUAAG
Molecule: ribosomal RNA, 417 nt
Filed under: uncultured microorganism
Description: bacterial SSU rRNA
Rfam family: Bacterial small subunit ribosomal RNA
Source: RNAcentral